CCACAUUCUAGGAAAUACACAGGAUCAUGUAUAUUUAAUUUCUAUCUUGAUUUAACACAUCAGUUCAUGUUGUUUCUUUUUCAUUGGUUUUUGUAUUAUAUAUUUUUUAAACAAAGGUGAGGCAGGCACUGACUAGAGUUUAUGUUGUAGUAAAAUAUUUUUGUUUGUUUGUAGAGGUACACUUGUUUCUUUAACUUUCUUUUGUGUCUUCAAAAUCAAUCAUGUUGCAGUCAGUGACUUGUGUUAAAUGACAAUAACCUGGUACAUGUCACAUACCUAUGUUGCAAGAAUGCACUUUACCUUCCUCGUCCUCAAGACGCAGCCACCUGGCGCACCUACCUAUAUUGAGGGAUAUAGCCAAUCUUGCUACUUUAGUGAGGCCGUGAUGUUUGAUUGCAAAGUGGUUGUUACAAAUUGGUUGGUUUUAGGUUCAAAGCUGGUACCUGAUCUUAUACUGCACUUUUUGUUUUGAUGAUCUUUUGCUCUUGUGGUUGCUUGACGAUGCCACUGGAUAUUAGAUUUUCAAUUCAGCUCAAACUCAUUAUUUUUUUUGGCAACAUAUGAUCUUUGCUUUGCAUGCUGUGUCUGUGCAAUUUCUCAUGAACUGUCUCCUUACUUGGGCAGUUGUUCAAUAUGAAGCUCGCUGAAGACAAGAAACAAAUAUCAUUCACUGUUAAGUGUGUGCCCUGAGACAAAGCUACUACAAUGGAGAAAUGUAUUAGGCAGUACUCGCUCCUAGGUAGUAAUCUUUCCAUUGGACUUUGGCUUGAAGUGGUAAAAACUUGUCAAACGUGUAUUGAGAUUUUAGACAUUUGAGGAUUGAGAUUAUGCAUCUUUUAGCUGGAUUUUAAAACAUGGUUAUUAUUGCUGUCGCCAGGAAUGAAGUGCCCUGUUGGUUGCACGCAGGCUCUGGCUGUUAUUUGCUGCCUUUGUCGUUAUUACUACCUGUGUAACUAUUUUAAGACGUUUUUGUAGUUCAAAUUGAAAUGUAAAAAUGUCUUAUAUUUAGUUACGAAGGUAGUACCUUAAAUUCUCCUGCCAUGUUCUUUAAUUGUGCUAAACUGAGCUUUGUAAUGUGCAAUUAAGGAACCUCUUUCCAUUACGUCAUUGUCAUGUUUGGGGGUAUGCCUGCCGCACAGUACUACCUUUACAAGAACAU
RNAcentral lists this ribosomal RNA (1159 nucleotides) under Triticum aestivum (bread wheat). Its description in RNAcentral is "partial small subunit ribosomal RNA". The record is from RNAcentral. Lineage: Eukaryota; Viridiplantae; Streptophyta; Magnoliopsida; Poales; Poaceae.